This is a non-coding RNA of Pteropus alecto (black flying fox), 119 nucleotides long. The record is from Rfam. NCBI's taxonomy places the organism in Eukaryota, Metazoa, Chordata, Mammalia, Chiroptera, Pteropodidae.
GUCCAUGGCCAUGCCACCCUGAAUGCGUCUGAUCCCAUCUGCUCUCAGAAGCUAAGCAGGGUCGGGCUUGGUUAGUACUUAGAUGGGAGACCACCUGGGAAUACCGGGUGCUGUAGGCU